GAGAUGGCUCAGAGGUUAAGAGCACUGACUGUUCUUCCAGAGGUCCUGAGUUCAAUUCCCAGCGACCACA
RNAcentral lists this transfer RNA (70 nucleotides) under Mus musculus (house mouse). RNAcentral describes it as "tRNA-Asn". The record is from RNAcentral. Lineage: Eukaryota; Metazoa; Chordata; Mammalia; Rodentia; Muridae.